UGGCCGGCGGCCUAACACAUGCAAGUCGAGCGCGCCCUUCGGGGUGAGCGGCGGACGGGUUAGUAACGCGUGGGAAUAUGCCCGACACUAAGGAAUAGCCUCUGGAAACGGAGAGUAAUACCUUAUACGCCCUUCGGGGGAAAGAUUUAUCGGUGACGGAUUAGCCCGCGUUAGAUUAGAUAGUUGGUGGGGUAAUGGCCUACCAAGUCUACGAUCUAUAGCUGGUUUUAGGGGAUGAUCAGCAACACUGGGACUGAGACACGGCCCAGACUCCUACGGGAGGCAGCAGUGGGGAAUCUUGGACAAUGGGCGCAAGCCUGAUCCAGCCAUGCCGCGUGAGUGAUGAAGGCCUUAGGGUCGUAAAGCUCUUUCGCCAGGGAUGAUAAUGACAGUACCUGAUAAAGAAACCCCGGCUAACUCCGUGCCAGCAGCCGCGGUAAUACGGAGGGGGUUAGCGUUGUUCGGAAUUACUGGGCGUAAAGCGCACGUAGGCGGACCAGUCAGUCAGGGGUGAAAUCCCGGGGCUCAACCCCGGAACUGCCUUUGAUACUGCUGGUCUUGAGGUCGAGAGAGGUGAGUGGAAUUCCGAGUGUAGAGGUGAAAUUCGUAGAUAUUCGGAGGAACACCAGUGGCGAAGGCGGCUCACUGGCUCGAUACUGACGCUGAGGUACGAAAGUGUGGGGAGCAAACAGGAUUAGAUACCCUGGUAGUCCACACCGUAAACGAUGAAUGCCAGUCGUCGGGUAGCAUGCUAUUCGGUGAC
This 763-nucleotide ribosomal RNA is filed under the name uncultured bacterium. Its description in RNAcentral is "bacterial SSU rRNA". It matches the Rfam family "Bacterial small subunit ribosomal RNA", at positions 37 to 847 of the family's 1533-position model. The record is from RNAcentral.